This 3812-nucleotide long non-coding RNA is filed under the name Homo sapiens (human). Its description in RNAcentral is "non-protein coding lnc-OR4F5-5:1". The record is from RNAcentral. Lineage: Eukaryota; Metazoa; Chordata; Mammalia; Primates; Hominidae.
CCCCUUCUCUGGGCCCAAGCCACCUUGGCUGAGGAGGGGGCGAGGAGGUGUGAGCCCCUGCCAGGAACCCCCUGCCCGGACCAAGUGCUCGGCCCCCAGGCCUGCGUUCAGUGAGGCCUCCCGUGGCGUCAGCAUGUUCGUGUGGAGGAAUGUGGAAGGUCACUCUGCGGCCGUGUUCUCCUGGUACUCCAUCCCCUUCCUGACCCCUCCCUGCAGCCACACGAGGCCCAGCAACCUGCCAGUCACUCAGUGGCCUCCAACCAGAGAAAACAACCUGCCAAGUUGGCAGCUGUUGCUCAUGAGCGUCCACCAGGUGGGACAGGGAGUGUUGACCCUGGGCGGCCCCCUGGAGCCACCUGCCCUGAAAGCCCAGGGCCCGCAACCCCACACACUUUGGGGUUGGUGGAACCUGGUAAAAGCUCACCUCCCACCAUGGAGGAGGAGCCCUGGGCCCCUCAGGGGAGUCCCUGCUGGACAGUGAGACAGAGAAUGACCAUGAUGAUGCUUUCCUCUCCAUCAUGUCUCCUGACACCCAGUUGCCUCUACCACUCAGAUGAUGUCAGGCCCAGUCCCUCAGUGCCCUGCGCAAGGAACAGGACUCAUCUUCUGAGAAGGAUGGACGCAGCCCCAACAAAUCAGACAAGGACCACAUCCGGUGGCCCAUGAGUGGCGCUCAUGAUCUUCAGCAGGCGGCACCAGGCCCUGGCGGGGCGCACCAGGGUCACCCCAACCAGGAUAACCGGACCGUCAGCCAGAUGCUGAGCGAGCGGUGGUACACCCUGGGGCCCAAUGAGAUGCAGAAAUACAACCUGGCCUUCCAGGUGAAGGUGGCCCACUUGCAACAAGGACCGAAAGAAGUCCAGCUCAGAGGCCAAGCCCACAAGCCAGGGGCUAGCAGGAGUGUAACAAGGGCUCGUGGGAGCGGAGCAUAUCAGAGACGGGCACUGCCACUGCCCCUGGGGUGUCCUCUGAACUCCUGUCAGUUGCAGCCCAAACACUCCAGAGCUCGGAUACCAAGGAGCAGCUUCUGUGGGGCAGAACGGCUGCACACAGUCAGGGAACCUGGCUCAGCCUGGCCCAAGCCUUCUCCCACAGCGGGGUACACAGCCUGGACGGCAGGGAAAUAGACCGUCAGGCACUACGGGAACUGACACAGGUGGUGUCUGGCACUGCAUCAUACUCUGGCCCAAAGCCUUCUACUCAGCAUGGAGCUCCAGGCCACUUUGCAGCCCCUGGUGAGGGAGGUGACCCGUGGGCAGCCCUGCUGCCGCCCACGUGAGCUGCUCAUUCCCAGCACAUGGCCAGCGAGGUCAUAGCGAGUGACGAAGAGCACACGGUCAUCCAUGAGGAGGAGGGGGUGAUGAUGUCAUUGCUGAUGAUGGCUUUAGCACCACCGACACCGAUCUCAAGUUCAAGGAGUGGGUGACCGACUGAGAGUGGGGACAACUCUGGGGAGGAGCCAGAGGGCAACAAGGGCUUUGGUGGGAAGGUAUUUGCACCUGUCAUUCCUUCCUCCUUUACUCCUGCCGCCCCUUGCUGGAUCCUGAGCCCCCAGGGUCCCCCGAUCCACCUGCAGCUUUUGGCAGUCUAUGGUCACACCCUGUCCUCCUCCUACACAUACUCGGAUGCUUCCUCCUCAACCUUGGCACCCACCUCCUUCUUACUGGGCCCAGGAGCCUUCAAAGCCCAGGAGUCUGGUCAACGCAGCAGAGCGGGCCCCCUACGGCCCCAACCCCUGGGGAUGGGGGCCCAGGGACGCCUUCCAAGGUGGCCUGUUUCCUCCCAAUGGAUCCUGCCACCUUCUGGUGCAAGAGACCUGAAAGUGUGGGCGACCUGGAGCUACCAGGCUCCUCAGUCAUCAGGGUCCCUCCCAACACUAAGGCUUUCCUAGGCAGGAGCUGGGCUGAGCCACCCGGGGGGCAGAGCCUGAAGAGAAACUGACUGGGCUUUCGGGGUCGGGGCAGAGGGAACCCCACGGACAUGGACCCCACACUGGAGGACCCCACCGCGCCCAAAUGCAAGAUGAGAAGAUGCUCCAGCUGCAGUCCAAAGCCCAACACCCCCAAGUGUGCCAUGUGUGAUGGGGACAGCUUCCCCUUUGCCUGUACAGGUGGAGAAGCCGAGGACAGGCUCAGGGAACCGGAGACCAAGAAGGCGCUGUCCUCUUCACUGCAUGUACCCUGGACCAGUGCCGGCCCUGAUCAUGCAGCUCUUCCAGGCCCACUGCUUCUUCCUGUCCACUAGGCCACAGCCGCCCUCCAGGCCCACUAUGCACACAUCUUCCCCUCCAAGGUUUGUUCUGCCCCUGCCCUGACUCCCAGCCCUGUGGGGGUCCUGACCGCACCUCACCUGGCUCAGACUCUUGACGCUGCCCUGGCUGCCCCACCAGUGCUUCUGCCCGAGAGUCACGUGAGGCUGAGAGUAGGGGCAGGGGCAGCAGUGGUGCCAGUUGGGGGGCGGUCCAGUGGGAGGAGCCUCAGCCUCGCAGGCUGCUCCGUGGGACUGAUGACUGCAUGAUCUUCUGGGCACCUCACGGAUCUUCAACUGCAGGUGAAACGGAUGCUGGUGGUGGGUGCAGGGCCGCUGGGAGCUGCUGCAUGGUUCCCAGAGGCUGGACUGAGGCAGGUGCCAACUGAAGCUGCUGGGGCAGCAUGGGCAGGAUGUUCUGCACACAAACCUUGGAGAAGAAGAUGUGUGCAUAGCAGGUCCACUGCUGCUGCCCCUGCCCUGACUCCCAGCCCUGCCUGACCCCACCUCAACCUGCUCAGGCUCUGGCACAACCCUGGCUGCCCUGCCACUGCCUCUGCCCCAGAGUUGGUGCCUUGACAGCCUGGUUGGAAGGGGACACCCCAGCCCUGCCUCAACACCUGGGGGUCUCCAUAACUAGCACAGGCAGGUGGGCAACCCCAAAGAUCCCAGGACUCACAGUACCCCCUGAGAACAUGGACAGUAUGUGGGGGUAGCAAUGGAGGGCAGGAUGGUUAUCUUCUCCCAGGUGAAGCCAUUUAAUCCUUUCAGUUUGGGACGGAGUAAGGCCUUCCUUUUUUUUUUUUUUUUUUUUUUUUUUUUUGAGACCGAGUCUUGCUCUGUCGCCCAGGCUGGAGUGCAGUGGUGCGAUCUUGGCUCACUGCAACCUCUUCCCGCUGGGUUCACGCCAUUCUCCUGCCUCAGCCUUCCGGGUAGCUAGGAUUACAGGUGGACGCUACCACGUCCGGCUAAUUUUUGUAUUUUUAGUACAGACGGGGCUUCAUCAUCUUGGCCAGGCUGAUUUCGAUCUCCUGACAUCGUGAUCUGCCUGCCUCCCCCUCCCAAAGUGCUGGGAUUACAGGCGUGAGCCACCACGCCUGGCCAAGGCCUGCUCCUCUUAUCUAUACCCCCUACCCCUGCAGCUGUGCCGGGGGAAAGCUGGGCAGUUUCCCUCCUCCGAGCCCCUGUACAUACCAUGAAUUGUGGGACCUUCAGAGCUUUUCACUUUUCGGAAAAUAGCUCCUGCUGGGGCUACAAGAUGGAGUGUGAAGAGGGCCUUGGGCCACAGGGAGGCGCCUGUGGACUAGGGGGAGUUCAUGCACCCCUUCUUUCCCCAGAGGGGCUGGACUCAGGUGAGUAUGGGGGUGGGGGCUCCUGCACUUCGACACAGGCAGCAGGAGGGUUUUCUCCCCAUUCCCUCUGCACUCCCAACUUGAGCUAUACUUUUUAAGAAAGUGAUUCACCCUGCCUUUGCCCCCUUCCCCAGAACAGAACACGUUGAUCGUGGGCGAUAUUUUUCAUUGUGCCAAAAAGUUGCCAUGACCGUCAUUAAACCUGUUUAACAC